This 77-nucleotide transfer RNA is filed under the name Marmota monax (woodchuck). Its description in RNAcentral is "tRNA.Gly". It matches the Rfam family "tRNA". From Rfam's summary of the family: Transfer RNA (tRNA) molecules are approximately 80 nucleotides in length. Their secondary structure includes four short double-helical elements and three loops (D, anti-codon, and T loops). Further hydrogen bonds mediate the characteristic L-shaped molecular structure. tRNAs have two regions of fundamental functional importance: the anti-codon, which is responsible for specific mRNA codon recognition, and the 3' end, to which the tRNAs corresponding amino acid is attached (by aminoacyl-tRNA synthetases). tRNAs cope with the degeneracy of the genetic code in two manners: having more than one tRNA (with a specific anti-codon) for a particular amino acid; and 'wobble' base-pairing, i.e. permitting non-standard base-pairing at the 3rd anti-codon position. Lineage: Eukaryota; Metazoa; Chordata; Mammalia; Rodentia; Sciuridae. The record is from RNAcentral.
GGCUGGGGAUAUAGCUCAGUUGGUAGAGUGUUUAUCUCCCAUGUAAAAGGCCCUGGGAUGAAUCCCCAGCCCUGCUA